RNAcentral lists this long non-coding RNA (833 nucleotides) under Zea mays. RNAcentral's name for it is "long non-coding RNA NONZMAT003625". The record is from RNAcentral. Lineage: Eukaryota; Viridiplantae; Streptophyta; Magnoliopsida; Poales; Poaceae.
GUGCAUAUAAGCAAGCCCCUGCGACCUCCCCUUGGCCAUAGGCGAGCAGAAACAUCGGAGUGCGCAGUAAGUACCCUCGCCGGAGCAAACAGAGAAAAAGAAGCCGCCGCCAUGGGACCGUGUCCCUAUUGCCGCUCGAAGCGCGGUCUCUGCCCCAGGGUGCUUCAACUCAGCCCUAGGAAUGUGUCCGUGCAUUGCCCAGAUGGGGAGAUGCACCGGGCUCACUGGAAUCUCUCGCUGGAGUAAAACCACCGCCGCAUGCCGCGCGCGGGCAUGACUGGGGGACUGCGCGGCUCAACCACCGAUAUGAUCAUCCCCAUCAGGUUCGCCGCAUACUCUACUGCCUUUUGCACAUCAUCGUGUUUGAGGUGGGCGCCGAAUGGUCGAACCAUCGCUCGUCGGCAUGCUCGCAUCCAUGGGAUGCCCGGCGCCGCCGCACCGUGGAUCGAGAUGGGAGAAACUACGCCAGCCGUCGGAUGUAGGACUUGUGGCCGAGAUUAGGCCGGGGUAAUGGUUCUACUAGAUCCGUUAUCCGCCAUUGGUCUCUGUGUCGACGGCUCGGAUCUAAUGAUAGCAAUACCCCUUCACAGCAUUAAAAACUAGUUCUUGAUCGUCCAUCCUGCGGCUUGGGAUAUCACGCGUAUCUCGUUCGUUCGUCGUGAAUCUCACGGUUCAGGCUACGUACCGGUUCAGAUGGGUUUGGAUCUAAUCUGAUCCGUAGAUUGGUGAUCCAACCGCCAAAAUAUAACCAUACCCCUUCGGUGGCCGUUUUCUUAAAAAGACCCUAGAUGUCUAGAUAAUGGUGAUCGCCCAUCCGAGAGAUUCAUAUUUAA